GGCUCCUUGUAAAAAAUAAAUAAGGAGUCGGACCUGCCCGGUGAAUUUUUUUAACGGCCGCGGUACUCUGACCGUGCAAAGGUAGCAUAAUCAUUUGCCUUAUAAUUGAAGGCUAGUAUGAAUGGUUUGACAAGAAUAUAGCUGUCUCUUUUUGAUUUUAUAGAAUUUUAUUUAAAGGUGAAGAAGCCUUUUUUACAUUAAAAGACAAGAAGACCCUAUCGAGCUUAAAAGAAAUAAUAGAGUUAAUAUAGUUGAUAAAAUUAGAAAAUUUCGCUGUUAACAAUUUUAGUUGGGGCGACUGAGGAACAUAAAAAGCUUCCUUUAACAACUUAAAUAUUUACAAAUAUUGAUCCAAAGUUUUUGAUUAAAGAAAUUAGUUACCGUAGGGAUAACAGCAUUAUCUUUUUUAAGAGCUCUUAUCGAAAAAAAGGUUUGUGACCUCGAUGUUGGACCAGAAUAUCCUAAAGAUGCAGCAGUCUUUAAGGGUUGGUCUGUUCGACCAUUAAAAUUCUACG
This 515-nucleotide ribosomal RNA is filed under the name Vermeijius pallidus. RNAcentral's name for it is "Pseudolatirus pallidus partial 16S ribosomal RNA". It matches the Rfam family "Bacterial large subunit ribosomal RNA", at positions 1817 to 2600 of the family's 2925-position model. Lineage: Eukaryota; Metazoa; Mollusca; Gastropoda; Neogastropoda; Fasciolariidae. The record is from RNAcentral.